AGAGUUUGAUCAUGGCUCAGAUUGAACGCUGGCGGCAUGCUUUACACAUGCAAGUCGAGCGGCAGCGCGGGGGCAACCCUGGCGGCGAGCGGCGGACGGGUGAGUAAUGCAUCGGAACGUAUCCCGUAGUGGGGGACAACCCAGCGAAAGCUGGGCUAAUACCGCAUAUGCUCUACGGAGGAAAGUGGGGGACCCGCAAGGGCCUCACGCUAUGGGAGCGGCCGAUGUCCGAUUAGCUAGUUGGUGGGGUAAAGGCCCACCAAGGCGACGAUCGGUAGCUGGUCUGAGAGGAUGAUCAGCCACACUGGGACUGAGACACGGCCCAGACUCCUACGGGAGGCAGCAGUGGGGAAUUUUGGACAAUGGGGGCAACCCUGAUCCAGCCAUGCCGCGUGCGGGAAGAAGGCCUUCGGGUUGUAAACCGCUUUUGGUCGGGAAGAAAAGGCGUCUCCUAAUACGGGGCGUUCUUGACGGUACCGGCAGAAUAAGCACCGGCUAACUACGUG
RNAcentral lists this ribosomal RNA (506 nucleotides) under uncultured bacterium. RNAcentral describes it as "bacterial SSU rRNA". It matches the Rfam family "Bacterial small subunit ribosomal RNA", at positions 8 to 507 of the family's 1533-position model. The record is from RNAcentral.